Molecule: ribosomal RNA, 368 nt
Filed under: uncultured organism
Description: bacterial SSU rRNA
Rfam family: Bacterial small subunit ribosomal RNA
Source: RNAcentral
CGGAGGAUCCAAGCGUUAUCCGGAUUUAUUGGGUUUAAAGGGUGCGUAGGUGGCCUGUUAAGUCAGGGGUGAAAGACGGUAGCUCAACUAUCGCAGUGCCCUUGAUACUGAUGGGCUUGAAUGGACUAGAGGUAGGCGGAAUGUGACAAGUAGCGGUGAAAUGCAUAGAUAUGUCACAGAACACCGAUUGCGAAGGCAGCUUACUAUGGUUUUAUUGACGCUGAGGCACGAAAGCGUGGGGAUCAAACAGGAUUAGAUACCCUGGUAGUCCACGCCCUAAACGAUGAAUACUCGCUGUUGGCGAUACACAGUCAGCGGCUAAGCGAAAGCGUUAAGUAUUCCACCUGGGGAGUACGCCCGCAAGGGUG